AUUGAACGCUGGCGGCAUGCUUUACGCAUGCAAGUCGAACGGUAACAGGCCGCAAGGUGCUGACGAGUGGCGAACGGGCGAGUAAUGCAUCGGAACGUGCCCAGUCGUGGGGGAUAACUACUCGAAAGAGUAGCUAAUACCGCAUACGAUCUAUGGAUGAAAGCGGGGGACCGUAAGGCCUCGCGCGAUUGGAGCGGCCGAUGUCAGAUUAGGUAGUUGGUGGGGUAAAGGCUCACCAAGCCAACGAUCUGUAGCUGGUCUGAGAGGACGACCAGCCACACUGGGACUGAGACACGGCCCAGACUCCUACGGGAGGCAGCAGUGGGGAAUUUUGGACAAUGGGCGCAAGCCUGAUCCAGCAAUGCCGCGUGCAGGAAGAAGGCCUUCGGGUUGUAAACUGCUUUUGUACGGAACGAAACGGCUCUGGUUAAUACCCGGGGCUAAUGACGGUACCGUAAGAAUAAGCACCGGCUAACUACGUG
This 482-nucleotide ribosomal RNA is filed under the name uncultured bacterium. RNAcentral describes it as "partial 16S ribosomal RNA". It matches the Rfam family "Bacterial small subunit ribosomal RNA", at positions 30 to 507 of the family's 1533-position model. The record is from RNAcentral.